Molecule: ribosomal RNA, 253 nt
Filed under: uncultured bacterium
Lineage: Bacteria
Description: partial 16S ribosomal RNA
Rfam family: Bacterial small subunit ribosomal RNA
Source: RNAcentral
UACGAAGGGGGCUAGCGUUGCUCGGAAUCACUGGGCGUAAAGGGGGCGUAGGCGGGUCUUUAAGGCAGGGGGGAAAUCCUGGAGCUCAACUCCAGAACUGCCUUUGAUACUGAGGAUCUUGAGUACGGGAGAGGUGAGUGGAACUGCGAGUGUAGAGGUGAAAUUCGUAGAUAUUCGCAAGAACACCAGUGGCGAAGGCGGCUCACUGGCCCGUAACUGACGCUGAGGCACGAAAGCGUGGGGAGCAAACAGG